Molecule: long non-coding RNA, 1167 nt
Organism: Homo sapiens (human)
Lineage: Eukaryota; Metazoa; Chordata; Mammalia; Primates; Hominidae
Product: long intergenic non-protein coding RNA 2223
Source: Ensembl
UUGGAAACAACGGCAAGACUUCAAAGCAGAUCAAUAGAGAAAUACCAAGACCUGAACUUCCUAGCAAAUGCUCUCUUCUAUUUUAAAUAUCCUUUUCAACAAAUGUUUGCUUAUGUGAUUUCUGUUUAGUGGGCAGUAGCAAGGCAAAAUUGAAUGUGUAAUAAGUCGAGCCCAGUAUUUUUCAAGCUCUGGCUCUUGGAGAUCUGUGGUUUUUGGUAGAUGCUUUGAGUGUGGGAUUGUGCAGGAACAGCAGGAUGGAGAUGGAUUGAUAUCAGGUUUAAAAAGAGAUGCUGCAUUUAUGGCUUCAUUCGAGGGAAAGGUUCCACUCACUAAAAAAUGUAGAUUCUUUCCUCAUGCAACACACUUCAUUACUCAUGUGUCCACAUUAGUGAGAUUUUUUUAAUUUCUGAAAAUGUCUUGUCAUAUCUUAGGUUUAUGCACAUUUUUGUGUCACUAAAGAAUAUUUCAUUCAUGUAUUCAUUUGUUCAUUCAUUUGUCAAAUAUCUUUGAUUUUCUACUGUUUCAGGUACUCUGGGGAUAAGAAGUGAAUAGAACAUAUUUAAGUUCUGGGGGACUCAAUCUGAAGAAGAAAGCAGAUACGGAAAUAAAACAGUGGAAUCACUUGCAGAGGAAACACAAGGAAAUGCUUAUAAUUUUUUCCUGGGGAGGUACCAUGUGAAGGCCUGGGCAUAUAACAUGAAACAAGAAAGAUAAGGCCCGUGCUUACAUAGAACUUGGUGAAGAAUCUAGACCAUAACAAGCACACAGAGAAAACGUAUCACAAAUUGUGCUAAAGUUCUGUAAAGGGAUUAAGAUGAAGUGUCACAAGACUGAAUUAGACAGAGUGCCCUUGAAAGAGUGCCAAUUUUUAGAAUGGAGGGUGUAGAUCCAUCCUUUGCAACUGGUGAGGACCUCCUCAGUAAGGCACUGAGCCAGGAGUCUAUACAGCCAUGCCAGCAGGGAGCACUGUCUUUCAUUGUCUGAUGUUUAUUGCAAACCUGUUCUUUUCAGCUUUUUGUUGUUUCAGCCUAGUCCAAAGACGUUUACAUCCUGGAAGAGAACUUGCUGGCUUUUCACCUCAGCAUGUAUGGGCCAAACUAAUAUAACAAGAAGUCUUGAGAGGAGUCAGCGGCCAAGCUCCAUGUCUUGCAGCCAAACAAUGCUGUG